CAGUAUGAUGGAAACCAGGAGCUAUCGCAGAUUGUGAUGAAUAUGAUGUUGGAAAGGUUCGACUUGUGGAAUCUGGUA
This 78-nucleotide small nucleolar RNA is filed under the name Zostera marina. The record is from RNAcentral. Lineage: Eukaryota; Viridiplantae; Streptophyta; Magnoliopsida; Alismatales; Zosteraceae.